UGUCAAGUUCUGAUUCGAACAUUUGUUGUCGGUGUCUGAUAGGAAGGUAUGCUGGGGCGGCUCAUUCCAGUCACACAAGCAAGAGCAUACACCCAGAGAGAGAGAGAGAGAGAAAAGAAACUACUACAAGUCAAAUGUACAGUUAAAAAGAGCCUACCUCUCAUGGGAUUCUGGAUCCAUAAGAUACCUCCAAUAAGCCGAGAGGAUUCGCAUGUUAGACCACCUGCUGCAGGAUGAGCUGGACUGACUAGUUUGAGAGAAAUGCGGUGGACGGAGAGAGACAUCACAUGACAAACAAAUUGGAAGUGGAUGAUCCGAAGGAGAUGAUUGUGCAAAACAAAGCCCACUCUGUUAGUUCUGCAGACCUGUGUCGUGGGGCUGUCACUCUGCAAAAGCAUCACGCGCACAAUGGGAAACAAUGGAAAAUGCGCGUGCACGCGAGAAAUGCUGUCUGCAAGUGAUGUGUGCUGUCAUGAGAUUACCGGCACAGUGAUGCGGAAAAGAAAAAAAAAAAAGGCUUGCAAAGCAUUACCCAAUCACGAGCUUUCACACUUGACCCGUUCUAAGUCUGGGCACGCACCGAAGCCUUUAACUAUUUCCUUUUUUAAAUUUAUUUGCCCCCCCCCCCACACAAGCAAAUAUAAUGCCACCUUACCUUCGACGGCCAUGACGUCACUCCAGAGAUGAGGGCAUCACUGGCAAAGGAGAUGGAGAAAAUUGGAAAGUCAACGCUUUCUCUUUCUACCUUGUUCUGCCGUGUUAUCAUUUCAUUGCUGCGGGCAAAGCAGAGUGCGGAGCUGCUGCCGCACCUCAAAGCAUUAUGGGGAAUGUAGUCAUACACUGGCUGAAUUUUCAAUGAGUCACUCAUUCCCUAUUUAAAUAGGGAUUUGUAUACAAUAGAAUCCAAUUAAAUAUUCUUUUAAAUUGGAUGUUGUAUAGAAAAUUCUGUCUUCUUUUUCUUCUUUUAUUCUUCUUCCAUUGUUAUUUAAUUUACCAGGUUGGCGUGCAAGAUUAUAAAUGCCGCAUCAAUAUAUUCUGUGUAAUGCUGAUUCUCUUGACAUCUAAAGAAAAUGUUGCCAAGUAUAAAGACAGCAAAAUAAACGACAGCAAAACAUGAUUUUAUUGCAAUGAAAUGCAAAUUCCACAAAUCAAAUUUACCAAUCAGUGACACCUUGAGGAAAAAAUAGCAUUCAUACAACCUUUUUUGUCAAUAAAGUGACGCCGUUGCUUGCCCUUUUGUUUCCAUAUUUAUUUUAUCUCAUAUUCUUUCAUGCUUAGCCAGUACAGAGACAAGUGCUGCAUAUAUAUAAAAAAAAAAAUCAAAAUAAGAAAGAAAUUUAUAGGCUAGCUGUUAUAAUUCUGACAGGGACAAGGUCCAAUUAAGUCUCAGAAAUCACAUUUAAACUGAUUAAUCCAGUUAAGAGUAAAAAAAAAAAAAAAAAAAAGCCCAUAAUCUACCUAUUAAUUUUUCAAGAACCAAGCUGAGAGAAG
Molecule: long non-coding RNA, 1491 nt
Organism: Syngnathus typhle (broad-nosed pipefish)
Lineage: Eukaryota; Metazoa; Chordata; Actinopteri; Syngnathiformes; Syngnathidae
Exons: 2
Source: RefSeq, a predicted model, not a curated record